GAUGGAGAGUUUGAUCCUGGCUCAGGACGAACGCUGGCGGCGUGCUUAACACAUGCAAGUCGAGCGAGGCUCUUCCUUCGGGGAGAUGUCCUAGCGGCGAACGGGUGAGUAACACGUGGGCAACC
Molecule: ribosomal RNA, 125 nt
Filed under: Acidimicrobiales bacterium
Lineage: Bacteria; Bacillati; Actinomycetota; Acidimicrobiia; Acidimicrobiales
Description: partial 16S ribosomal RNA
Rfam family: Bacterial small subunit ribosomal RNA
Source: RNAcentral